RNAcentral lists this microRNA precursor (156 nucleotides) under Populus trichocarpa (black cottonwood). RNAcentral describes it as "MIR2912 microRNA precursor family". It matches the Rfam family "MIR2912 microRNA precursor family". Lineage: Eukaryota; Viridiplantae; Streptophyta; Magnoliopsida; Malpighiales; Salicaceae. The record is from Rfam by way of RNAcentral.
UCUAGAACUCGAGAUAUGGUCUGAACACUGAACAGUGUCUGGGCUAAAUGACAAAUUUCGACAUCUCUUUUGUUGCUAUAAUUUGUGCUUGAAAACGGAUGUUUUGAAUCUUGGACUCUUCAUAAAAGUUUUAGGCAUGUGUCUUAGCUUUCCAUC